This 90-nucleotide non-coding RNA is filed under the name Actinobacteria bacterium IMCC26207. RNAcentral describes it as "SAM riboswitch aptamer (S box leader)". It matches the Rfam family "SAM riboswitch aptamer (S box leader)". Rfam says of the family: The SAM riboswitch is found upstream of a number of genes which code for proteins involved in methionine or cysteine biosynthesis in Gram-positive bacteria. The SAM riboswitch acts at the level of transcription termination control. Lineage: Bacteria; Bacillati; Actinomycetota; Actinomycetes. The record is from Rfam by way of RNAcentral. RNAcentral also lists the same sequence under 1 other name.
GCAUCAUCAAGAAGGCCCGAGAGUCCCGGCUCUAUGACGGUCUGGCAACCCCCGAAAACGGGAAGGUGCCCCCGCCGGAUUCGAUGAGGA